Molecule: ribosomal RNA, 497 nt
Filed under: uncultured bacterium
Lineage: Bacteria
Description: partial 16S ribosomal RNA
Rfam family: Bacterial small subunit ribosomal RNA
Source: RNAcentral
GAUGAACGCUGGCGGCGUGCCUAAUACAUGCAAGUCGAGCGAACAGACGAGGAGCUUGCUCCUCUGACGUUAGCGGCGGACGGGUGAGUAACACGUGGAUAACCUACCUAUAAGACUGGGAUAACUUCGGGAAACCGGAGCUAAUACCGGAUAAUAUAUUGAACCGCAUGGUUCAAUAGUGAAAGACGGAUUUGCUGUCACUUAUAGAUGGAUCCGCGCCGGAUUAGCUAGUUGGUAAGGUAACGGCUUACCAAGGCAACGAUGCGUAGCCGACCUGAGAGGGUGAUCGGCCACACUGGAACUGAGACACGGUCCAGACUCCUACGGGAGGCAGCAGUAGGGAAUCUUCCGCAAUGGGCGAAAGCCUGACGGAGCAACGCCGCGUGAGUGAUGAAGGUCUUCGGAUCGUAAAACUCUGUUAUUAGGGAAGAACAAAUGUGUAAGUAACUAUGCACGUCUUGACGGUACCUAAUCAGAAAGCCACGGCUAACUACGUG